Clostridium sp. CAG:1000 is the source of this 351-nucleotide non-coding RNA. NCBI's taxonomy places the organism in Bacteria, Bacillati, Bacillota, Clostridia, Eubacteriales, Clostridiaceae. The record is from Rfam.
GGGGCUGCAUUGAUUCGACAGAAUUAUGUUUUGUUUGGGCGCAGGUAGUAGGCAUACUAUAAAUGCAAAAAUAAAAUAAUCGGAAACGAUUUUAAAUUCUCUCCAGCUUUUGCUUAAUUAGUUAAAAGAGGAGCUUCCACUUAGUCUUUACUUGCGAGGUUAAGAAUGGGAGUCAUAAAGCAAGUUAUAUUAUAAAUUUGUUUGUGGUUUAUAAUGAAAAAUGAGCAAACUUUGAAUAAUAAGAGAAGUUGGCAAUCUACAUUAUUAUUUGAGGAUAAAAACCAACUAAACCUGUAGAAGACCAAAUGAAAUGAAUUUUGGACAGGAGUUCGCUACUCCUCAGCUCCACCA